GGGUGUGGUACAAUGGCUAGUACAUCAGCCUUCCAAGCUGAGGACGAGGGUUCGAUUCCCUUCACCC
This 67-nucleotide transfer RNA is filed under the name human gut metagenome. It matches the Rfam family "tRNA". From Rfam's summary of the family: Transfer RNA (tRNA) molecules are approximately 80 nucleotides in length. Their secondary structure includes four short double-helical elements and three loops (D, anti-codon, and T loops). Further hydrogen bonds mediate the characteristic L-shaped molecular structure. tRNAs have two regions of fundamental functional importance: the anti-codon, which is responsible for specific mRNA codon recognition, and the 3' end, to which the tRNAs corresponding amino acid is attached (by aminoacyl-tRNA synthetases). tRNAs cope with the degeneracy of the genetic code in two manners: having more than one tRNA (with a specific anti-codon) for a particular amino acid; and 'wobble' base-pairing, i.e. permitting non-standard base-pairing at the 3rd anti-codon position. The record is from RNAcentral.